RNAcentral lists this RNase P RNA (411 nucleotides) under Alphaproteobacteria bacterium. Its description in RNAcentral is "RNase P RNA component class A". It matches the Rfam family "Bacterial RNase P class A". From Rfam's summary of the family: Ribonuclease P (RNase P) is a ubiquitous endoribonuclease, found in archaea, bacteria and eukarya as well as chloroplasts and mitochondria. Lineage: Bacteria; Pseudomonadati; Pseudomonadota; Alphaproteobacteria. The record is from RNAcentral.
UCAGACGGUCGGAUGGCCGCUCUUUGUCGGGUUCGCUCGGCGGAGGGAGGAAAGUCCGGGCUCCACGGAAGCACGGUGCCGGGUAACGCCCGGCGGGGGCGACCCCAGGGAAAGUGCCACAGAAACACACCGCCGAGCCCAUUGUCCUUCGGGACAGUGGGCGGCAAGGGUGAAAUGGUGCGGUAAGAGCGCACCGCGCCGCCGGCAACGGCGGCGGCAGGGUAAACCCCACCGGGAGCAAGACCAAGUAGGAGCGGCAGGCGGCGCUGGCCUCGGCUAGCGUCGCCGGGCGGGCCUUCCGCGCCGCCGCUCGGGUCGGUCGCGCGAGGCGUUCGGUAACGAACGUCCCAGAUGAAUGGCCAUCCCCGCUCUCGGGCGGGACAGAACCCGGCUUACAGACCGUCUGGCAAC